RNAcentral lists this small nucleolar RNA (138 nucleotides) under Ornithorhynchus anatinus (platypus). Lineage: Eukaryota; Metazoa; Chordata; Mammalia; Monotremata; Ornithorhynchidae. The record is from RNAcentral.
CUCCUCUUAGGGUCACACCUGGAGAGCUUCCAGUACUCUACCAGUCUCAGCUACCAGAGGGAGAGUCAAGCAGAGGCCUACCCAUUCCAUUCCUAGCUUGGCCAGUAGCUAGUGAGUGGAAGACAAUCUGCUACAAGU